Molecule: long non-coding RNA, 397 nt
Filed under: Olea europaea (common olive)
Lineage: Eukaryota; Viridiplantae; Streptophyta; Magnoliopsida; Lamiales; Oleaceae
Description: long non-coding RNA (OEUR_LNC013342)
Source: RNAcentral
UUGGUUUGAUGUUGUGGUUGAGUGCGGUGAUCGGUGGCUGGGUGUGCGGUGUUGUGUGAUGGUUGAUCUGGUAGGUGCGUAGGUAGCAAUGGUGUUGGAAUGGUGGCUGACAGUGGGGGUCGUGGCAGUGGUGAUGAUGAGAUGGUGGUGGUUGCAGGUCAUGGUGGCGACGGCAGCAAGGUGGAGGUGUUGUUGGCGUUCAGAGAAUUGAUGAUGAUGUUGGUGGUGGUCGUGGUUGCAGGUCAUGGUGGUCGUGGCAGUGGUGAUGAUGUUGGUGGUGCUGGCUACCGCAGCCGGCGAUGUUGGCUGUGCUGAUAAUUGUGAUUGUGACCGUGACUCCUAAUUGUGACUUGACAUUGAAUAUGUGACCGUGACUCCCAAUUGAUUAAAUUGUGAC